GAUGAACGCUGGCGGCGUGCCUAAUACAUGCAAGUCGAGCGAACAGACGAGGAGCUUGCUCCUCUGACGUUAGCGGCGGACGGGUGAGUAACACGUGGAUAACCUACCUAUAAGACUGGGAUAACUUCGGGAAACCGGAGCUAAUACCGGAUAAUAUAUUGAACCGCAUGGUUCAAUAGUGAGAGACGGUUUUGCUGUCACUUAUAGAUGGAUCCGCGCCGCAUUAGCUAGUUGGUAAGGUAACGGCUUACCAAGGCAACGAUGCGUAGCCGACCUGAGAGGGUGAUCGGCCACACUGGAACUGAGACACGGUCCAGACUCCUACGGGAGGCAGCAGUAGGGAAUCUUCCGCAAUGAGCGAAAGCCUGACGGAGCAACGCCGCGUGAGUGAUGAAGGUCUUCGGAUCGUAAAACUCUGUUAUUAGGGAAGAACAAAUGUGUAAGUAACUAUGCACGUCUUGACGGUACCUAAUCAGAAAGCCACGGCUAACUACGUG
This 497-nucleotide ribosomal RNA is filed under the name uncultured bacterium. RNAcentral's name for it is "partial 16S ribosomal RNA". It matches the Rfam family "Bacterial small subunit ribosomal RNA", at positions 28 to 507 of the family's 1533-position model. The record is from RNAcentral.